This 357-nucleotide ribosomal RNA is filed under the name uncultured soil bacterium. RNAcentral describes it as "bacterial SSU rRNA". It matches the Rfam family "Bacterial small subunit ribosomal RNA", at positions 26 to 381 of the family's 1533-position model. The record is from RNAcentral.
AGAUUGAACGCUGGCGGCAGGCCUAACACAUGCAAGUCGAGCGGUAGAGAGGUGCUUGCACCUCUUGAGAGCGGCGGACGGGUGAGUAAAGCCUAGGAAUCUGCCUGGUAGUGGGGGAUAACGCUCGGAAACGGACGCUAAUACCGCAUACGUCCUACGGGAGAAAGCAGGGGACCUUCGGGCCUUGCGCUAUCAGAUGAGCCUAGGUCGGAUUAGCUAGUUGGUGAGGUAAUGGCUCACCAAGGCGACGAUCCGUAACUGGUCUGAGAGGAUGAUCAGUCACACUGGAACUGAGACACGGUCCAGACUCCUACGGGAGCAGCAGUGGGGAAUAGUUGGACAAGUGGGGACGAAAAG